This 2420-nucleotide long non-coding RNA is filed under the name Pelobates cultripes (western spadefoot toad). Lineage: Eukaryota; Metazoa; Chordata; Amphibia; Anura; Pelobatidae. The record is from RNAcentral.
CAUGUAUGUGGGAUAUUGUACUAAGCUUGGGUACAUGUAUGUGGGAUAUUGUACUAAGCUUGGUACAUGUAUGUGGGAUAUUGUACUAGGCUGGGUACACGUCUGUGGGAUUUUGUACUAGGCUGGGUACACGUAUGUGGGAUAUUGUACUAGGCUGGGUACACGUAUGUGGGAUAUUGUACUAGGCUGGGUACACGUAUGUGGGAUAUUGUACUAGGCUGGGUACAUGUAUGUGGGAUAUUGUACUAGGCUGGGUACAUGUAUGUGGGAUAUUGUACUAAGCUUGGUACAUGUAUGUUUGGAUAUUGUACUAGGCUGGGUACACGUCUGUGGGAUUUUGUACUAGGCUGGGUACACGUAUGUGGGAUAUUGUACUAGGCUGGGUACACGUAUGUGGGAUAUUGUACUAGGCUGGGUACACGUAUGUGGGAUAUUGUACUAGGCUGGGUACACGUAUGUGGGAUAUUGUACUAGGCUGGGUACAUGUAUGUGGGAUAUUGUACAAGGCUGGGUACAUGUAUGUGGGAUAUUGUACAAGGCUGGGUACAUGUAUGUGGGAUAUUGUACUACGCCGGGUACACGUCUGUGGGAUUUUGUACUAGGCUGGGUACACGGCUGUGGGAUUUUGUACUACGCUGGGGACAUGCAUGUGGGAUAUUGUACUAGGCUGGGUAUAUGUAUGUGUGAUUUUGUGCUAUGCUGGGUACAUGUCUGUGUGAUGGCCCUCUUUUUAUAUGAAUUUUACGUUUGAAUGGCAUGCACAUUACUUACAUCUCACCCUCUGUAGUCUCUGGUGUCUGGCAUUUUGCUUUCUGAUGGCUGAUGCUCUUUGACUUUAAAUGUAAUGCCAUGUAUAUGAAGAUUUUUCCUAUAUGAUGUAUUAAGCAUCUGUAGUGGUUGUCUUGACCCUAGUGGAGUCAGGUUUUAAUUUCGGUGCGAUAUCGCAGCUGGUGGAAUCUAGCGCCUGGCCUCGAAAUGAGUCACAAGUAGCAGUUUUUUCUAAUUUCCGUAGCGCUGUACAUUGGGAUCACCUCCUAUUAUUCUCUACGGUAAUUACAAGUCACAACUGGUAAGUCUUUGUAUUAUUGAAAGAGCCGCUAUUUACCAACGUUACAGACAGCCUAUUUAUUAACGGCUUGUCGCUAAAAACUGACAACGCUGGAAAUGAGCCCUACAUUGGGAAUAGUGGAGACAUGAUAUGCAGAUUGUAUAUUUUAGGUAAAACUAGGAAAACUUGCAGGAAUUGGAGAAAUUCUACAACUCCGCUAUUCUGGUCUAAAUCUGUAAAUGCCUUGCCAAUUCCCCACGAGUCUCAGGUUAGCUGUUAAAGCCUGAUGGUAUUAGCAAGACAUAUUGAUGAAAUGAUGGUUUAUAAACUAAAAGGUGAAUUGUAAGAAACUGGAAACAAAUCGCAAAAUGUAGGUAAAAAUAAAAAUAACCAAUUUGGUUAUUCACCAGAAACACCAGUCCACCCACCAGCUCGGAUAUAGUGAAACAUACAUUAAACCAGAACCUGGAUGGGAGAAUCGAGCACAAUAAGACUAGCAGACAAAUCCAGUAAAUAAAAAGCAGUGCUAAAAAGAAGCAGAGGCUCAACAGCUUUUCUUAAACUACAAAUCUCAUGCCAUUGUUUAAAGGGACAUUACAGUUUAUUGAAUUUGUUCUGGUGAGUAGAAUCAUUCCCUUCAGGCUUUUUGCUGUAAACACUGUCUUUUCAGAGAAAAUGCAGUGUUUACAUUGCAGCCUAGUGAUAACUUCACUGGCCACUCCUCAGAUGGCUGUUAGAGGUGCUUCCUGGGGCAGUGCUGCAAAGAGUGACUGACAUUCAGUGUCUCCACCCUCUGCAUGGAGACACUGAACUUUCCUCAUAGAGAUGCAUUAAUUCAAUGUAUCGCUAUGAGAAAAUGCUGAUUGGCCAGGGCUGUGUUUGGCUUGUGUUGGCUCUGCCCCUGAUCUGCCUUCUUGACAUUCUCAGCCAAUCCAAUGCUUUCCUAUGGAAAAGCAUUGUGAUUGGCUGAGAUCAAAACUUCUAGUAAUGUAAGCCAAGGACGCAGAUUAGGGGCAGAGCCAGCAGCAGCAGACUUAAAUAAAAGUAAGAUUUUACUAUAUUUGGGGGAGAAAUUAAUGCAUGUUUGUGUUCCUUUAAAUGUUGUAACCGACUAAUACCUGUAAUACCAGGUACCCGUAAACACCCAAUCUUCAUUGGCAUACUGCACCCCACUCAAAGUUACUCACUCUUCAUUACGACAUUUGUGAUCAUAAAUUCUACCACAUUUUCCUUAACACACAUCAAAUGGCAAACGGAACUGGAAUUCAGAGAUUAAGCAGCUCCUACAUUUCAUAAACAGCGAAUGAAGUUAUAUAUGAUUAUAGAUAUUAAAGGAUCACUAUAGGGUCAGGAACACAAACAUGUAUUCCUG